GAACAAGCCGUCAUCGGUGAAUCAGGAAAGAAGGCAGGACCGCCUGAGAGUGGCAAGGUGCUCCAGAGCGUUUUACAGAUAUUCUCACAGAGAUGGCAGAGCCAGACCUUCCCUCUCUCACCCAAGGAGGCCUCGCACGGGCAGAAAAGUGCAGGGCUCAUGCCUCCACCAGGGUGGGAAGUCCCACUGGCUGAGCACCUGCUGGGUGCUGGGCAGCGUGCAUGACGCUCUCCCUGGGGUCACUCAGUCCUCGUCAGAACCCUGGGAGGUGGGCUCCAUCACCCUCUGGUCACAGGAUCACCUAACUGCAGUAUUGGCCAGACUUCUGAUAUCCAAUCUCAUUUCACAAGCGAGAGAAUGAGGCCGCCCAGGGAGGCCCACGGCGGGCGCAGGAACCACACCACUGGCUGCGUGGCUGUGCAGCUGCGGGGGGAGCCGGUGUCAGGACUCCAGAAUGAGCACUCACAUCUGUCUCCUGUGAUGCAGGCUCACGUCUCUCUUCACACUUACCCCACCAUCAGCAUACGGAGCAGAGAAUCACGGGGCCUCUGCUGCAAUAACUAUGCUGGCGCUGGACUGGGGUUUAUUUUCUCCUGACCUGAGUAAAAACAGCGUCUUGACAUUUACAGCAUUCUUCCACUGCAAACCUUCGUGUGAAAUUGAACAUGAUCCCCAGUAAUAAAAUAUUCAAUUAAUUAAACCCUCAA
This is a long non-coding RNA of Myotis brandtii (Brandt's bat), 707 nucleotides long. RefSeq lists it as uncharacterized. The record is from RefSeq and is a predicted model, not a curated record. The transcript is spliced from 2 exons. Lineage: Eukaryota; Metazoa; Chordata; Mammalia; Chiroptera; Vespertilionidae.